Molecule: long non-coding RNA, 1193 nt
Organism: Pseudopipra pipra
Lineage: Eukaryota; Metazoa; Chordata; Aves; Passeriformes; Pipridae
Exons: 2
Source: RefSeq, a predicted model, not a curated record
GCCUGUAAGGAGUGAUGGGGGGUGGUGAGGACCUGUGAGGGUUAAUGGGGGGCUGUGAGAGGUGGCUGUGAGUGACAGUGGGAGCUUUGAAGGAUCAGGCUGUGAGAGGUGACAGUGAAGGACUGUGAGGCAUCAGGGGGAUGCAGGGUAAUGAUGAGCGGCUGUGAGAGGUGAUGGGGACUGUGAGAGCUGGUGGGUGGUGGUGAGGGGCAGUGUGGGCAGACAGGGCAGUAGGAGCAGUGUUGUGAUAAGGGUAUAGAAAUUUGGCAGAAAAGAAACACCCUUGUUCAGCUGGUCUUUGGAGAUCAGAGGGGCUGGGGUUGGCUGGGCUUAAUCUCUGAUUAUAACCAAUUUGGCACUGUAAGUGGUUGUGUUCAAUAGGAACUUCCGCAAGCACAGGUUCUCAAACUGGGAAUCCGGUAAUAUUCUAUUAGAAUUUUCACCAUCACAAAUUCAUGAACAGUGUGGUUUACUGAAGCAGCAGAAAUACAAGGGAGAAUGGCUUCAAACUGAAAGACAGUAGGUUUAGAUUAAAUAUUAGAAAGAAAUUCUUUACUGAGAGGGUGGUGAUGCCCUGGCACAGGUUGCCCAGAGAAGCUGUGGCUGCCCCAUCCCUGGAAGUGUCCAAGGCCAGGUUGGACGGGGCCUGGAGCAACCUGGGCUAGUGGAAGGUGUUCCUGCCCAUGGCAGGGGUUGGGACUAGAGCCAGACCAUGUCUCCACAGAACCUGCUCCUCCAGCCAGCUGAGCCUUUCCUGACAUCAGCUGUGCAGAUCUCCAUCCACAGAGAUAACUCAGAGGAUACACAGCAUAGGCUGCAGAUAUUCAGCCCUAGCCCUUUGCCUGGCUCCUUGGUCAUCAUCCCGCAGACAGCAGUGAGGGGUGAGGAGGCCUUGGGCUGUGUUUCUGCCCUUUGGGCUGGGUAAAGCUCAGGGCAAAUACUGGAUACAACUACUGCUUUAGGAAAGCUUUAAAAUCUGACUACUUUUGUGCUCAGUAACAAUGUGACUGCUUUUUUGCAAAGCCUACAAUGUCCGGGACAGAAAUUGGUUCAUUUUAAAGAUGGAGGAUUUCCAUAGUGUUUAUUUGACUUGGCUUGGCAGCAGUGUUCUGUUUACGACUGGAUAAAUAACUGCCACAUUAAAGAUUAUUAACUAGCAAUGCUUCAGUGACCAAUAAAGUCCUAAUCUUUUA